RNAcentral lists this ribosomal RNA (231 nucleotides) under Triticum aestivum (bread wheat). RNAcentral describes it as "partial small subunit ribosomal RNA". The record is from RNAcentral. Lineage: Eukaryota; Viridiplantae; Streptophyta; Magnoliopsida; Poales; Poaceae.
AUGCCUCCUCCUAACGUCAACCGCACGCUCGUACGCGUGCUCGCGGUCCCGACGCGCCGGACGCGUUCAAUGCGCACCCAUAACACUCACCGGUCGCGCCCGGCUCGCCGCCGCGGCUUAUUGCCCUGCACCCUGCGGCCUCAACUACAGCGCAACACCUCCAUGCCGCUGUGUGUCGUUGAAGCCGCCACCACGCAGGUCCUCCGCGGCCUCCUCACUAUGCCGCCGUAG